RNAcentral lists this ribosomal RNA (416 nucleotides) under Salmonella enterica subsp. enterica serovar Kentucky. RNAcentral's name for it is "bacterial SSU rRNA". It matches the Rfam family "Bacterial small subunit ribosomal RNA", at positions 1128 to 1533 of the family's 1533-position model. The record is from RNAcentral. Lineage: Bacteria; Pseudomonadati; Pseudomonadota; Gammaproteobacteria; Enterobacterales; Enterobacteriaceae.
CGGCCGGGAACUCAAAGGAGACUGCCAGUGAUAAACUGGAGGAAGGUGGGGAUGACGUCAAGUCAUCAUGGCCCUUACGACCAGGGCUACACACGUGCUACAAUGGCGCAUACAAAGAGAAGCGACCUCGCGAGAGCAAGCGGACCUCAUAAAGUGCGUCGUAGUCCGGAUUGGAGUCUGCAACUCGACUCCAUGAAGUCGGAAUCGCUAGUAAUCGUGGAUCAGAAUGCCACGGUGAAUACGUUCCCGGGCCUUGUACACACCGCCCGUCACACCAUGGGAGUGGGUUGCAAAAGAAGUAGGUAGCUUAACCUGCGGGAGGGCGCUUACCACUUUGUGAUUCAUGACUGGGGUGAAGUCGUAACAAGGUAACCGUAGGGGAACCUGCGGUUGGAUCACCUCCUUACCUGAAAGAA